CCUACGGGAGGCAGCAGUGAGGAAUAUUGGUCAAUGGACGAGAGUCUGAACCAGCCAAGUAGCGUGAAGGAUGACUGCCCUAUGGGUUGUAAACUUCUUUUAUAGAGGAAUAAAACGAGGCACGUGUGCCUUUUUGCAUGUACUUUAUGAAUAAGGAUCGGCUAACUCCAUGCCAGCAGCCGCGGUAAUACGGAGGAUCCGAGCGUUAUCCGGAUUUAGUGGGUUUAAAGGGAGCGUAGAUGGGUUGUUAAGUCAGUUGUGAAAGUUUGCGGCUCAACCGUAAAAUUGCAAUUGAUACUGGCAGGCUGGAGUACAGUUGAGGUAGGCGGAAUUCGUGGUGUAGCGGUGAAAUGCUUAGAUAUCACGAAGAACUCCGAUUGCGAAGGCAGCUUACUAAACUGUAACUGACAUUGAUGCUCGAAAGUGUGGGUAUCAAACAGGAUUAGAUACCCGAGUAGUC
Molecule: ribosomal RNA, 460 nt
Filed under: uncultured bacterium
Lineage: Bacteria
Description: partial 16S ribosomal RNA
Rfam family: Bacterial small subunit ribosomal RNA
Source: RNAcentral